This 2787-nucleotide ribosomal RNA is filed under the name Pyropia haitanensis. RNAcentral's name for it is "bacterial LSU rRNA". The stretch from base 1629 to 2739 matches the Rfam family "Bacterial large subunit ribosomal RNA". The record is from RNAcentral. Lineage: Eukaryota; Rhodophyta; Bangiophyceae; Bangiales; Bangiaceae.
UAUAUAGCGCAAGUUCCAUGUACCCAUAAAGAGCUCGGCACAAGAGUAUUGAUGACGAGACAACACUCUCAAUAACGAAGUGCUAAAAAAUAUGAACCAAAUGGUGCUCAUACUAUCAAAUUACAGGUUAUUGACUCUCUCUAUUAUCUUAAACUAGAACAAGCGAGCACGAAGACAAAACCUCGAAUAGAAUCUCGAUAAUCCUACAGCACGAUAAAACAAAGGUUAGCUUGUAUAAGAUAAAGGAGAUAAAAGGCGAAAAUGAGCUCGUAUAAGAGAUGAUCUCGGUAAGAAAACAAAUAUAUCGCUCAUAAUGAGGACUAAAAAGAUAUGAGCUCAAUGGUACACAAGCCACCAGUUAGAAAAGCGAUGGAGUUGAGAAGUAUAGACUAGAUGUAAGCAGCAGUGUCAUUCAAGAUACGACUAAGGCCUGAAGGGCUAUUUGCCACAGCGAUCAGGCGUGAGAUAAGAUUAUCACACGGGCAUAAAUAAUAUCCUAAGUUUAUUAGCCAAUAAUGUAUAAUAGCCUAAUCGAUAGGUAGAGUGAAAGAAAUGACUAUUACAAAACAAGAAGAGAGUCUGAAGAAACAACAGACAACAAAACUCAUUUGUGAAGAAUAAUGACAGGUCAGCGAUGCAGAUUACAAACUAUACAUUAUAUACGUAACCGGGUCCACGCCAGAAGGACAAUAAUGACUAAUAAUGUAGCAUAUGAAAUAUUAAGUAUAACAGUUCCUAUCUCAAGAAAUGGUAAAAACAAAUAUUGCUAAAUACCAAUGAAACAUCCAUGAACAGCGCAACAACAACGACCAAAAACAAAAACAAGAAACCAAGCGCAGAGCGCUGUAGGAACAUUAAGUAAAGUAUAAAAAAAACGGCUACAACAGCAAUAGAAAAAUGGAUUUCGAUUUACCAUAGCAUAAGGGUAUCGCAACUAUGUUAGGGAAUCAUCUCCGCGCUCUAAACUACGAGAACCAAACUCGGAGAGAAAACAAGGAAAGGAGAUUUUUCUAUACAAACCUACAAAAGAAAGCUUACAAAAAGUAAAAGCUAAAAUAAAACUUUGUGUCAAAGAACAUUCGCAACUUCCUCUGUGAAUGCUUUUCUCAAAACUAAAUCCAAUAUUAAGGGGCUGAGCAAAUUAUUACUCGUCUAGUACUGCAAAGUUAGCUUAUACCCGAAUAAGUAAAUACGUUUUUGAUUCCAUUCAUCGCAUGAUAAAAAUUAAGCAUCCAAAGCUUAAUGCUAAAGCGCUUAAAUCCAAAUUUUAUCACAAAGUGAAUAAUAGAGAUUGAUUAAUGUUACUCAAUAGCACUCGAAAUUAAAAGGAUCAAUAUAGCAAAAUUAAAUUUAUCGUUCAAAUAUUCCGACGACUCAUAUUAAAAGAAAAUCAAAAUCCAACUAUGAAACAAACAUUGAGCGCUAACAAAUAUACCCCAAAAUACCUCAUGGGCUCGAGUAUAUGAGGAGUAUUAAAUAAAAGAUACUUAUGAAAUGUGUUUAAUCAGCAAAACGAAAUUAAAUAUCAGAUUAAAAAGCUAGCAAAAAAAGAACUAAAACAACGGUAUGGCAACAAGAAAAACACAGACAUAAUAUGUAAAAAUAGCACUACUAUAUAAACGCCAUAGAGUGGAGACUACUACUUAGUACCGAAUUCACGAAGAACUUACUACCUACUCAGAAGUAACCAUGUGGUGAAGUAGACGGUUAACAAAUCUAAUAUAUAAAGAAAAAACUAUGAACUCGCUUCAUACAUAAACCGACACAGGUGAGCUUAUUGAGAAGAUAAAGACGAAUGAGAUAAUUAUACUUAAGGAACUCGGCAAAUUUGCUCCGUACGUUCGCAACAAGGAGUACCUUAAAGGAUUCAAAAAUUAGGGGUAGCGACUGUUUAACAAAAACUCAAAACUUUGCAAAUUCGAAAGAAGACGUAUAAGGUUUGACGCCUGCCCAGUGCUUGAAAGCGAAAAAUACACGUUAACGCUUGUAUCAUAAACUCAAGUAAACGGCGGUCUUAACUAUAAGGAUCCUCAGGUAGCGAAAUUCCUUGGCGGGUAAAUUCCGUCCUGCAUGAAUGGCGUCACGACUACCCCACUGUCUCUAGUAUAAACUCAGCGAAAUUACAUUGUCUGUGAAAAUGCAGACAUCCUACAACAAGACGGAAAGACCCUAUGAUUCUUAACUAUAAUUUUACGUCGCAAUAAUUUUGUGUACAGUACAGUAAAAGUAGGAGUAUACUUAUACAAUUUUGAAAAACUACUCUGUACAUAAGAAAUUGCUUACUGAAGAGAAAAUAUGUAAAAGUGGUAGUUUACUUGGGACGAGGACCUCCUAAACUGUAACGGAGGUGCACAAAAGUAAAUUUUAAUUAGUUUUUUGUAUUAAUAAAAUAUGUAAUGGUAAAAAUUUGCUUGACGGUAAGAGUUACAACUCAAACCGGGACGAAAGUCGGUCAUAAUGAUCCGGCAGUAAUGUAUGGAAAUACUGUCGCUUAUCGGAAAAAAGAAACUCUAGGGAUAACAGAUUUAUCAUGGCUGAGAGUUCUUAUCGACGCCAUGGUUUGAUACCUCGAUGUCGGCUCAUCUUUUCCUGGAGCUGUAACAGGUUCCAAGGGUAUGGUUGUUCGCCAAAUAAUAAGAUACGUGAGCUGGGUUCAGAACGUCGUGAGACAGUUCGGUCCCUAUCUGUUGUGGGUAAGAAAAAACUAGAUUUAUCUCGUAAAUAGCUAAUCUCCACUUUAGGGAUUAAACUAAUAUUACAGGUAGGAAGCUAGUUCAUACAGAUCUA